UAAGAGAUGUGGCCUUGUUGGAGGAGGACCAUUCUUAGGUGAAUCCAUAAAAUAUUCCCCCAUCUGGAUGGAUUCAACUGAGAUUUAUUUCCAUCUACAUAACUGAGGAAAUGAGCAGACUGAGGUAUGGUGCAUGGGCUUGGGACCUGCAGAACAGUUGACAUCAUCUCUGAAACUCUGCAAAGAGAAUCCUCAGAAGCAAAAGCAUGAACCACUCAUAGCUGGAGAUAAAAGAGCUCUGACCUUGUGUAGACCAUGUCAGGAGCUACUGUUCACAUCUUACAUGAUGAACCUUCCUCAAAUAGUGCAAUGUCCAACGAUAUAAGACCAAUGGCCUAACAGACCAAGAUGGACUUAAACUUACAAAGAUCUACCUGACUGUAUCUCCAGAAAUGAAUUAAAGGCACUCAGUAUCUGCAGGGAGAAUACUCUGCCCAUUCUUUCAAGGAAUCUGUUUUGUCAAGGCUGAACUUUGCACCCUUGUCAGCACUAAGAAGGAUUUACGAGUUGUUGUUAUUGCCUCUGCUCUCUCUCACACAUGUGAACACAUGAGAAGUGAAUUCCACAGUCAGCUCAGAGGACUCUGGGGACCUUGAGACUGAAGCAUGAGGUUUUGAUGUCCUAGGAAUCAAGUCAAAUGCGAGUAAUCUCAGCUCUGUACAGCUUGGAGAGCACAGGCCAAGCCUGGGAGCUAUUACACAGAAAAAUCAGACCCAAAAUGAAGAAGAAAAUAUUGGAAAUGUGCUUUAAAAACACACACAAAUUCAUUCCUUUCAUCACAUUGCCUUUGCACUGAUACCCUCUGUUCUAUGUUCUAAUCCUGAGGGCCUUUCUCUACCCAGGAACUGCAUGUGAACUGAUUUGUUUGCUACAGCAACCAGAGUAACACUUGAGUCUUGGGUUGUCACCUGAUCGCUUACAAACCCAUCUGAUGCUUUGGUCUGUACUCAGUGGAUUCUGAUUCAAUGAACUGGACCCACUGAUACUCUACAUCCAAUAAAGUGAUAGGCAUUUAGAACUGA
Long non-coding RNA from Mastomys coucha (southern multimammate mouse), 1022 nucleotides. RefSeq lists it as uncharacterized. The record is from RefSeq and is a predicted model, not a curated record. Lineage: Eukaryota; Metazoa; Chordata; Mammalia; Rodentia; Muridae. The transcript has 6 exons.